CACGUAGGGGACGAGCGUUGUCCGGAUUCAUUGGGCGUAAAGGGCUCGUAGGCGGCCAACUAAGUCACACGUGAAAUCCCCAGGCUCAACCUGGGAACUGCGUGUGAUACUGGAUGGCUUGAAUUCGGGAGAGGGAUGCAGAAUUCCAGGUGUAGCGGUGAAAUGCGUAGAUAUCUGGAGGAAUACCGGUGGCGAAGGCGGCAUCCUGGACCGACAUUGACGCUGAUGAGCGAAAGCUAGGGGAGCAAACGGG
RNAcentral lists this ribosomal RNA (253 nucleotides) under uncultured bacterium. Its description in RNAcentral is "partial 16S ribosomal RNA". It matches the Rfam family "Bacterial small subunit ribosomal RNA", at positions 524 to 776 of the family's 1533-position model. The record is from RNAcentral.